This 406-nucleotide ribosomal RNA is filed under the name marine bacterium SIMO-IS152. Its description in RNAcentral is "bacterial SSU rRNA". It matches the Rfam family "Bacterial small subunit ribosomal RNA", at positions 97 to 538 of the family's 1533-position model. Lineage: Bacteria; Pseudomonadati; Pseudomonadota; Alphaproteobacteria. The record is from RNAcentral.
GGCGCACGGGUGCGUAACGCGUGGGAACCUGCCUUUAGGUUCGGAAUAACUCAGAAGAAAUUUGAGCUAAUACCGGAUGAUGUCUUCGGACCAAAGAUUUAUCGCCUUUAGAUGGGCCCGCGUUAGAUUAGAUAGUUGGUGGGGUAAUGGCCUACCAAGUCGACGAUCUAUAGCUGGUCUGAGAGGAUGAUCAGCCACACUGGGACUGAGACACGGCCCAGACUCCUACGGGAGGCAGCAGUGGGGAAUAUUGGACAAUGGGCGAAAGCCUGAUCCAGCAAUGCCGCGUGAGUGAUGAAGGCCUUAGGGGUUGUAAAGCUCUUUUACCAGGGAUGAUAAUGACAGUCCUGGAGAAUAAGCUCCGGCUACUCCGUGCCAGCAGCCGCGGUAAUACGGAGGGAGCUAG